GAUGAACGCUGGCGGCGUGCUUAACACAUGCAAGUCGAACGGAAAGGCUCCUGCUUGCAGGGGUACUCGAGUGGCGAACGGGUGAGUAACACGUGGGUGAUCUGCCCUGCACUUCGGGAUAAGCCUUGGAAACUGGGUCUAAUACCGGAUAGGACCACAUUCUGGAUGGUGUGGUGGAAAGUUUUUCGGUGUGGGAUGAGCUCGCGGCCUAUCAGCUUGUUGGUGGGGUAAUGGCCUACCAAGGCGUCGACGGGUAGCCGGCCUGAGAGGGUGUACGGCCACAUUGGGACUGAGAUACGGCCCAGACGCCUACGGGAGGCAGCAGGGGGGAAUAUGGCACAAUGGGCGCAAGCCUGAUGCAGCGACGCCGCGUGGGGGAUGACGGCCUUCGGGUUGUAAACUCCUUUCGCUAGGGACGAAGCGCAAGUGACGGUACCUGGAGAAGAAGCACCGGCUAACUACGUG
RNAcentral lists this ribosomal RNA (465 nucleotides) under uncultured bacterium. RNAcentral describes it as "partial 16S ribosomal RNA". It matches the Rfam family "Bacterial small subunit ribosomal RNA", at positions 28 to 507 of the family's 1533-position model. The record is from RNAcentral.